Molecule: ribosomal RNA, 630 nt
Filed under: uncultured Sphingomonas sp.
Lineage: Bacteria; Pseudomonadati; Pseudomonadota; Alphaproteobacteria; Sphingomonadales; Sphingomonadaceae
Description: bacterial SSU rRNA
Rfam family: Bacterial small subunit ribosomal RNA
Source: RNAcentral
UUCGGGUUUAGUGGCGCACGGGUGCGUAACGCGUGGGAAUCUGCCCCUUGGUUCGGAAUAACAGUCGGAAACGACUGCUAAUACCGGAUGAUGACGUAAGUCCAAAGAUUUAUCGCCGAGGGAUGAGCCCGCGUAGGAUUAGGUAGUUGGUGUGGUAAAGGCGCACCAAGCCGACGAUCCUUAGCUGGUCUGAGAGGAUGAUCAGCCACACUUGGACUGAGACACGGCCCAGACUCCUACGGGAGGCAGCAGUGGGGAAUAUUGGACAAUGGGCGAAAGCCUGAUCCAGCAAUGCCGCGUGAGUGAUGAAGGCCUUAGGGUUGUAAAGCUCUUUUACCCGGGAUGAUAAUGACAGUACCGGGAGAAUAAGCUCCGGCUAACUCCGUGCCAGCAGCCGCGGUAAUACGGAGGGAGCUAGCGUUAUUCGGAAUUACUGGGCGUAAAGCGCACGUAGGCGGCUUUGUAAGUAAGAGGUGAAAGCCCAGAGCUCAACUCUGGAAUUGCCUUUUAGACUGCAUCGCUUGAAUCAUGGAGAGGUCAGUGGAAUUCCGAGUGUAGAGGUGAAAUUCGUAGAUAUUCGGAAGAACACCAGUGGCGAAGGCGGCUGACUGGACAUGUAUUGACGCUGAG